ACCUACCUGACAGCUGACACCUCACACCUGUUUCUCACCUGCAGGUCAGACAGGAGGAGACACAGAGGAUGGAUCUGUUGGACUGAUUGUUGGUCUGUCAGUUCUUGCUGUUCUUGUAGUUGCUGCUGGAUUUUUGAUCUACAGAAAACAUAAACAACAGCAGAGUCAGGAUUCAUAACAGCCUCCUGUUGAACUGUAGCUUGUUUCAAAUUAGUUUUUUUUCCUCAUGAACUCUGAGUCUCCUGCUGCUGUUCAGACUCUCAGUGUUGUCAGUGAACAUUCAGGUACAGACAGAUGAUCUGAUCAUCCAGCAGACAGACAUCAAACACGUCCAGAAUUUCUCUGUCACGGCAUCAUCACUGCUUUCUCCACUUCAGCCUGUGAAGUAAGGAAGGAUGUGAAGCUGCAAUUUCAAGAUUCUUUAUUCGGCAGAUGCUUAGUUGUACAAGUAUAACACACAGUGAAAUGUAACCUGACACACUCCUAUACUUGUGCAAAGGGGGUGAGAGAGGAAGAACAUUAUAUAUUAUAUACAUUAGGUGAUUGUUCAGUUUUAGUAUGUUAUGUGUCAAAUGUGUUUGUUCUUUGCUAAUAAAGUUUUACAAACAUUGUCA
Long non-coding RNA from Oreochromis niloticus (Nile tilapia), 614 nucleotides. RefSeq lists it as uncharacterized. The record is from RefSeq and is a predicted model, not a curated record. The transcript has 2 exons. NCBI's taxonomy places the organism in Eukaryota, Metazoa, Chordata, Actinopteri, Cichliformes, Cichlidae.